Molecule: long non-coding RNA, 2459 nt
Organism: Pseudophryne corroboree (corroboree frog)
Lineage: Eukaryota; Metazoa; Chordata; Amphibia; Anura; Myobatrachidae
Exons: 3
Source: RefSeq, a predicted model, not a curated record
CAUAAUAGCAUGAUUUUUUAAUAUAAUUCAUUUUAUACAGUGUCUGAAAAAAGCAGUACUACUCGUCGGCCAGUAACUCCUAUCACAUCUGAUGAUGAUGACGCUGUGGAAGCAGGUCCAUCAAAAGAAGUAUGGAGCAGCAGAAGUGGCACUUCUGUAAGACAUCACCACAAAAAACCUGUGGCCGAAAAGAAAGCAAGGUCGUAUGUCCCGGCACAAACACAGCAGGCUACCCCGCCACGAAGAUUAUCGUCCGUAUGUUCUGUACCCCCACUCCAAAUUUUGGACACACCUCCAAGACGUCAUCCACACUCCCCUCAUCUUGAUUCUUUGAGUCCUGGGAACAGCAUCCCUCCGCAACAACACCAACACAGUGACAUGGAGGAGACAAACAUCUUAGAACUGUAGCCAUUAAUGCAAGGAAUGAGCCCCCCAGCACCUGUGAGUACACCACCACAGCAAAGCACACCACCACCACAACACAGCCCAACAACACCAGGAACACAAGGCCCUGAUCAGGUGUUUUGGACUAUUUGGGCUAGACAGCAGGCCACUAAUGAAGAUUGCCUGCAUAAGCAGACACAAAUGUUUGCAAGCCUACCAUCUCACCUCAGAAGAAUCUCAAGAAAUCUGAGUAGACAAAAUGAGCAAACAACCAGAAUAGGCAAUACCAUGGAACUCAUGCGUACAGACAUUACACAGGUCAUGGGCAACUUACAGCGCAUAAUGGAAGAACAGCACAGACUAAUGGAAGAACAGCACAGACUAAUGGAAGAACAGCACAGACAACAGCAAAGUUAUAUGAGCAUUUUUCAAAACAAUCAAAAGAUUAAUGAAAGUUUAUUCCAAAUAGUAGACAAUCAAAAUGCUGCUACACGUGAACUCAAUGCCACCCUCACUAACCUGAAUGAAACACUCAGAUGCAUGCACCAACAGCAAACAAGCAGCAGUUCUGGUACGACUACUCCAAAUAUCACGCCAGUCUCAUCACCACCAAGACGGUCCACCAGAGCACGCCAACAUGACAGUGCUAAAGGCAAAGGGCAGGACAAGCAGUCACCCAAAAAAAUGUGGAAAAAAAACAACAAGUUAGACAUUUGUGAUAAGUAACUCAAAAUAGUUAGCAAGUGUUUUUGUUGCUUAAAAAAAUAUAACACUUAGCUCCUUGACCCUUUUUUCAACAUCAUUAAUUAUAAGUGGGCCAAAUAAAAAAAUUUUUAGUACGCACAUUUAUUCAUUAACAUUUUUUUUUUGGUAUUGGAGGAGGGAAAACUUGAUGGAGCCACACAUACAUGUUAGCAGGAAGUAAACUGACCACUUGAUUUUUUUCUAGUCAUUACUUUUUCUAGAUUCCAAUCAUUUUCUUUGCCUGCAGAUACAAUAAUUGCCAGCCAGGCAGAAUGUCUUUAGCAGGAAGAAAACUGACCACUUGAUUUUUUUCUAAUCAUUGCUCUUUCUAGAUUCCAAUCAUUUUCUUUGCCUGCAGAUACAAUAAUUGCCAGCCAGGCAGAACGUCUUUAGCAGGAAGAAAACUGACCACUUGAUUUUUUUCUAAUCAUUACUCUUUCUAGAUUCCAAUCAUUUUCUUUGCCUGCAGAUACAAUAAUUGCCAGCCAGGCAGAAUGUCUUUAGCAGGAAGAAAACUGACCACUUGAUUUUUUUCUAAUCAUUACUCUUUCUAUAUUCAAAUCAUUUUCUUUGCCUGCAGACAAUCCAAAUUACAAUGUUAGUGAUACAUAUCUUAGCUAUCUUAUCUAUACAACAUUACAAGAAGAACACAAUUGAGUUGCGUAAAAAGCUUGUAAUAUGUUGCCUUUGUUUUGUUUGAAAAACAUUGUCCAAAUGAAUGUCAGUAUUGUUGGGACAUGUUUGUGUGUGUUUUAAAUUAUUAAGCAUGUUUUUACACAUGAUGCUGAAACAAACAAAUAUGUACUUUUACAACAAAAAACAAAAACUGUGUUUAAUAAUGUAUAUGUGUGGCAAACUGUGUAUUUACUUACACAUCAUCAAGUUUACAGCAUCAAACAUUAGGAAUUUAAUUUUUCAUGAUUACAGUAAGUUUGUGAGUCUUAAAUAUGAUGGUGCAUCACACAUAGGGACACAUGUAUUCCUCAAGGCUAACAUACUAUAUGUUGAGGAGUGUUUUUUGGGAACACAGGUUCGCAAACUCGGCCCUCAGGAACCCACACAGUGCAUGUUUUGCAGGUCUAUUCACAGAAUCACAAGUGACAUAAUUAGCUCCACCUGUGAACCUUUUAACAUGUCUGUGAGUAAUUCAUACACCUGUGCUUCUACUGGGUUACGAGAAAAACAUGCACUGUGUGUGGUCCUGAGGGCCGAGUUUGUGAACCUGUGCAUUAGGACGUUACACACAAUGAUAAAGUGAAAUACUAAAUGGAUGAUGUGGGAUUGUAAGAAAUUAGCACUGCAAGUUUUUGAUCACUUAUCCAGACUUAAUG